GGUGAACGCUGGCGGCGUGCCUAAUACAUGCAAGUCGAGCGAACAGACGAGGAGCUUGCUCCUCUGACGUUAGCGGCGGACGGGUGAGUAACACGUGGAUAACCUACCUAUAAGACUGGGAUAACUUCGGGAAACCGGAGCCAAUACCGGAUAAUAUAUUGAACCGCAUGGUUCAAUAGUGAAAGACGGUUUUGCUGUCACUUAUAGAUGGAUCCGCGCCGCAUUAGCUAGUUGGUAAGGUAACGGCUUACCAAGGCGACGAUGCGUAGCCGACCUGAGAGGGUGAUCGGCCACACUGGAACUGAGACACGGUCCAGACUCCUACGGGAGGCAGCAGUAGGGAAUCUUCCGCAAUGGGCGAAAGCCUGUCGGAGCAACGCCGCGUGAGUGAUGAAGGUCUUCGGAUCGUAAAACUCUGUUAUUAGGGAAGAACAAAUGUGUAAGUAACUAUGCACGUCUUGACGGUACCUAAUCAGAAAGCCACGGCUAACUACGUG
RNAcentral lists this ribosomal RNA (497 nucleotides) under uncultured bacterium. Its description in RNAcentral is "partial 16S ribosomal RNA". It matches the Rfam family "Bacterial small subunit ribosomal RNA", at positions 28 to 507 of the family's 1533-position model. The record is from RNAcentral.